GGGAAUUAGGGUUCGAUUCCGGAGAGGGAGCCUGAGAGAUAGCUACCACUUCUACGGAGGGCAGCAGGCGCGUAAAUUGCCCAAUGCCAAAUCGGCGAGGCAGCGAAGAAAAAUAGCGAUCCCGCCUCAUUGAGUGCGGGAGUUGCAAUGUGUGGUAUUUACAACCACCAACGAGUAACAAUUGGAGGACAAGUCUGGUGCCAGCACCCGCGGUAAUUCCAGCUCCAAUAGCGUAUAUUAAUGUUGCUGCUGUUAAAGCGCUCGUAGUUGGACUCGGGACGCGAGGAUUCGGGCGCACUCGCGCCAGCUCUUUCGCGUCCUGUCACAGACGGAGCCGUGUUCCGCCCGCGUGCCUUCGCUGGCCCGCGGGCACCCGCAAGGGACCGGGCACGACAUGCCCAUCGAACCGUCCGUCGUUCUCACCGUGAAUAAAACAGCGUGUUCAAGGCAGCCGUUCGGCCGCAUGACAAAGCAUGGAAUGACAGAGCAUCGACCAGCUGGUUGUGCUUUUGUUGGUUUUACUACCGAGUUGGGUAACUCGCGGUGCCGGCGCGGCCUCGGCCGCCCGGCGCCAGCACGGGAUUAACGGGGGUUGUCGGGGAAGGAAGUAUGCCGAAGUGAGAGGUGAAAUUCUGUGAUCUUCGGUGGACUAACAAAUGCGAAGGCGUCCUUCAAGUAUACCUUCAUCAAUCAAGAGCUCUAGCGUGGGGAACAAAAAUGAUUAGAUACCAUUGUAGUCCACCGCUGCAAACGAUGACGCCCAUGGAUCGGAUAGCAUCUUAUUCCGAUGGGAUCUUUUCGGCACUGCUCCCCUUCAACGCGAAAGCUGAGGCUUUGGUCUCAUGGGGAAGUACGUUCGCAAGGCUGAAACUUAAAGAAAUUGACGGAAUGGCACCACCAGACGUGGAGUGUGCGGUUUAAUUUGACUCAACACGGGAAACCUUACCAGGACAGGACAACGGAAUGAUUGACAGAUUGAUAGCUCUUUCUUGAUUCGUUUGACGGUGGUGCAUGGCCGCUUUUGGUCGGUGAAGUGAUUUGUUUGGUUGAUUCCUUUAACGGACGAGACCCAAUCCGCUUACUAGGUGCGCCAUCUCUGCGGCGCGCGCGGGCUCGCCCGUGCGCGUCGGAUAGCGACUCCUUCUUCGCGGCAUUCCAUGCGCCUUAGCAUGGUGGCAUUUUGGGCAACAGCAGGUCC
Molecule: ribosomal RNA, 1198 nt
Filed under: Perkinsela sp.
Lineage: Eukaryota; Euglenozoa; Kinetoplastea; Prokinetoplastida; Perkinselidae
Description: SSU rRNA
Rfam family: Eukaryotic small subunit ribosomal RNA
Source: RNAcentral